GAAGUGAACUCUGGAGAGAUCCCGGCCGAUGACCGGGGCGCCGAAGGGAUAGCGAUCUCAGGCAGAAGGACAGAGGGGGCAUC
RNAcentral lists this non-coding RNA (83 nucleotides) under Roseovarius indicus. Its description in RNAcentral is "Glycine sequence". It matches the Rfam family "Glycine riboswitch aptamer". Rfam says of the family: This family represents the bacterial glycine riboswitch. Glycine riboswitches usually consist of two metabolite-binding aptamers domains with similar structures in tandem. The aptamers cooperatively bind glycine to regulate the expression of downstream genes. Lineage: Bacteria; Pseudomonadati; Pseudomonadota; Alphaproteobacteria; Rhodobacterales; Roseobacteraceae. The record is from Rfam by way of RNAcentral.